UUUCUUCUAAAGCUAAAUAUUGGCCAGAGACCGAUAGCGCACAAGUAGAGUGAUCGAAAGAUGAAAAGCACUUUGGAAAGAGAGUUAAAAAGCACGUGAAAUUGUUGAAAGGGAAGGGAUUGCAACCAGACUUGCUCGCGGUGUUCCGCCGGUCUUCUGACCGGUCUACUCGCCGCGUUGCAGGCCAGCAUCGUCUGGUGCCGCUGGAUAAGACUUGAGGAAUGUAGCUCCCUCGGGAGUGUUAUAGCCUCUUGUGAUGCAGCGAGCGCCGGGCGAGGUCCGCGCUUCGGCUAGGAUGCUGGCGUAAUGGUUGUAAUCCGCCCGUCUUGAAACACGGACCAAGGAGUCUAACAUCUAUGCGAGUGUUCGGGUGUCAAACCCCUACGCGUAAUGAAAGUGAACGGAGGUGAGAACCGCAAGGUGCAUCAUCGACCGAUCCUGAUGUCUUCGGAUGGAUUUGAGUAUGAGCAUAGCUGUUGGGACCCGAAAGAUGGUGAACUAUGCCUGAAUAGGGUGAAGCCAGAGGAAACUCUGGUGGAGGCUCGCAGCGGUUCUGACGUGCAAAUCGAUCGUCAAAUUUGGGUAUA
RNAcentral lists this ribosomal RNA (587 nucleotides) under Asterina elaeocarpi. RNAcentral describes it as "LSU rRNA". It matches the Rfam family "Eukaryotic large subunit ribosomal RNA", at positions 304 to 919 of the family's 3401-position model. The record is from RNAcentral. Lineage: Eukaryota; Fungi; Ascomycota; Dothideomycetes; Asterinales; Asterinaceae.